UGGGGAAUCUUGGACAAUGGGGGCAACCCUGACCCAGCAACGCCGCGUGAGGGAUGAAGGCCUUCGGGUCGUAAACCUCUGUCGGGAGGGAAGAAAGGUCAACGUUCGAACAGGACGAGGGCUUGACGGUACCUCCAAAGGACGCGCCGGCUAACUCCGUGCCAGCAGCCGCGGUAAUACGGAGGGCGCGAGCGUUGUUCGGAAUCAUUGGGCGUAAAGCGCGUGUAGGCGGCUUGGCAAGUCGGAUGUGAAAGCCCGGGGCCCAACCCCGGAACUGCAUUCGAAACUGCCUCGCUCGAGUCCCGGAGAGGAAGGCGGAAUUCCCGGUGUAGGGGUGAAAUCCGUAGAUAUCGGGAGGAACACCAGCGGCGAAGGCGGCCUUCCGGACGGUGACUGACGCUGAGACGCGAAAGCGUGGGGAGCAAACAGGAUUAGAUACCCGCGUAGUCC
This 450-nucleotide ribosomal RNA is filed under the name uncultured prokaryote. RNAcentral describes it as "bacterial SSU rRNA". It matches the Rfam family "Bacterial small subunit ribosomal RNA", at positions 355 to 796 of the family's 1533-position model. The record is from RNAcentral.